RNAcentral lists this ribosomal RNA (609 nucleotides) under uncultured eukaryote. RNAcentral describes it as "SSU rRNA". It matches the Rfam family "Eukaryotic small subunit ribosomal RNA", at positions 469 to 1073 of the family's 1831-position model. The record is from RNAcentral.
GACAAUAAAUAACAAUGCUCUGGCUCUUCGAGUCGGGCAAUUGGAAUGAGAACAAUUUAAAUCCCUUAUCGAGGAUCAAUUGGAGGGCAAGUCUGGUGCCAGCAGCCGCGGUAAUUCCAGCUCCAAUAGCGUAUAUUAAAGUUGUUGCAGUUAAAAAGCUCGUAGUUGGAUUUCUGCUUUGAGCGUCCGGUCCGCUCCUUUGGAGUGUGUUACUAGGAUGGUUGAGGCAUUUUUUGUGAGGACGCCCUUCUGCCAUUCAGUUGGUGGUUGGAUGGACUUGCAUCGUUUACUGUGAAAAAAUUAGAGUGUUUAAAGCAGGCGUUUGCUCAUUGAAUACAUUAGCAUGGAAUAAUAAGAUACGACCUUGGUGGUCUAUUUUGUUGGUUUGCACACCAGGGUAAUGAUUAAUAGGGACAGUUGGGGGUAUUCAUAUUGCAGCGUCAGAGGUGAAAUUCUUGGAUCGCUGCAAGAUGAGCUUAGGCGAAAGCAUUUACCAAGGAUGUUUUCAUUAAUCAAGAACGAAAGUUAAGGGAUCGAAGAUGAUUAGAUACCAUCGUAGUCUUAACCAUAAACUAUGCCGACUCGGGGAUUGGCAGUCGUUUUUUUUAA